CCUACGGGAGACAGCAGUGGGGAAUAUUGCGCAAUGGUCGAAAGCCUGACGCAGCGACGCCGCGUGAGGGAUGAAGGUCUUCGGAUCGUAAACCUCUGUCAGCAGGGAAGAACGGUCACUGUGCUAAUCAGCAGUGAAUUGACGGUACCUGCAAAGGAAGCACCGGCUAACUCCGUGCCAGCAGCCGCGGUAAUACGGAGGGUGCGAGCGUUAAUCGGAAUUACUGGGCGUAAAGCGCUCGUAGGCGGUAUGUCAAGUCAAGGGUGAAAUCCCCGCGCUCAACGUGGGAACUGCCUUUGAAACUGGCGAACUGGGGGGUGUGAGAGGAUAGUGGAAUUCCAGGUGUAGGAGUGAAAUCCGUAGAUAUCUGGAGGAACAUCAGUGGCGAAGGCGACUAUCUGGCACAUAACUGACGCUGAGGAGCGAAAGCGUGGGUAGCAAACAGGAUUAGAUACCUAGUAGUC
Molecule: ribosomal RNA, 464 nt
Filed under: uncultured bacterium
Lineage: Bacteria
Description: partial 16S ribosomal RNA
Rfam family: Bacterial small subunit ribosomal RNA
Source: RNAcentral